CCUACGGGAGGCAGCAGUAGGGAAUUUUCGUCAAUGGGGGGAACCCUGAACGAGCAAUGCCGCGUGAGUGAAGACGGUUUUCGGACUGUAAAGCUCUGUUGUAAGAGAAAAACGGCCGACAUAGGGAAUGAUGUCGGAGUGAUGGUAUCUUACCAGAAAGUCACGGCUAACUACGUGCCAGCAGCCGCGGUAAUACGUAGGUGGCGAGCGUUAUCCGGAAUGAUUGGGCGUAAAGGGUGCGUAGGCGGUACGGUAAGUCUGUAGUAAAAGGCGGCAGCUCAACUGUCGUAGGCUAUGGAAACUGUCGAACUAGAGUGCAGAAGAGGGCGAUGGAACUCCAUGUGUAGCGGUAAAAUGCGUAGAUAUAUGGAAGAACACCAGUGGCGAAGGCGGUCGCCUGGUCUGUAACUGACGCUGAAGCACGAAAGCGUGGGGAGCAAAUAGGAUUAGAUACCCUAGUAGUC
This 464-nucleotide ribosomal RNA is filed under the name Faecalicoccus pleomorphus. RNAcentral describes it as "bacterial SSU rRNA". It matches the Rfam family "Bacterial small subunit ribosomal RNA", at positions 338 to 795 of the family's 1533-position model. Lineage: Bacteria; Bacillati; Bacillota; Erysipelotrichia; Erysipelotrichales; Erysipelotrichaceae. The record is from RNAcentral.